UACGUAGGGUGCAAGCGUUAUCCGGAAUUAUUGGGCGUAAAGAGCUCGUAGGCGGUUUGUCGCGUCUGCUGUGAAAACUGGGGGCUCAACCCCCAGCCUGCAGUGGGUACGGGCAGACUAGAGUGCGGUAGGGGAGAUUGGAAUUCCUGGUGUAGCGGUGGAAUGCGCAGAGAUCGGGAAGAACGCCAAGGGCGAAGGCACUCUGCUAGGCCUGAUUUCGCGACUGACACUCAGGGACGAGAGCCAGGGGAGCGAAUGGG
RNAcentral lists this ribosomal RNA (260 nucleotides) under uncultured bacterium. RNAcentral describes it as "partial 16S ribosomal RNA". It matches the Rfam family "Bacterial small subunit ribosomal RNA", at positions 524 to 776 of the family's 1533-position model. The record is from RNAcentral.